RNAcentral lists this ribosomal RNA (194 nucleotides) under uncultured bacterium. RNAcentral describes it as "partial 16S ribosomal RNA". It matches the Rfam family "Bacterial small subunit ribosomal RNA", at positions 338 to 524 of the family's 1533-position model. The record is from RNAcentral.
CCUACGGGAGGCAGCAGCUAAGAAUAUUCCGCAAUGGACGAAAGUCUGACGGAGCGACGCCGCGUGGAUGAAGAAGGCCGAAAGGUUGUAAAAUCCUUUUGUUGGGGAAGAAUAAGCGUGGGAGGGAAUGCCCGCGUGAUGACAUGAACCGACGAAUAAGUCCCGGCUAACUACGUGCCAGCAGCCGCGGUAAU